This 79-nucleotide small nucleolar RNA is filed under the name Klebsormidium nitens. The record is from RNAcentral. Lineage: Eukaryota; Viridiplantae; Streptophyta; Klebsormidiophyceae; Klebsormidiales; Klebsormidiaceae.
AGGCCGGAUGAUGAUCUGUUUCAUAGACCUGUUCUGAUUUCCAUGAGGACAUUUAACAUGCACCACUAUCUGACGGCCU